GUUAAGUGUAUCCAUGAGUUUUCGUGUCCAACUUUAAUUGUUUGUUUUAUUUAAAAUUUUUUAUAAUUAGUAUUUGUAUUGUUAUGAGAUGAUAAAAUAUAAAUAGUACUUUAUGCAUGACUACUUAUAUUUUUAUUUUUUUAAUUUUUUUUAAAUAAAACAGACGAUUAAAAUUGGGCACGAAAAAUCAUUGCUGCACUUUAA
Oryza glaberrima (African rice) is the source of this 204-nucleotide non-coding RNA. The record is from Rfam. NCBI's taxonomy places the organism in Eukaryota, Viridiplantae, Streptophyta, Magnoliopsida, Poales, Poaceae.